GUACACUCCUACGGGAGGCAGCAGUGGGGAAUAUUGCACAAUGGGCGCAAGCCUGAUGCAGCCAUGCCGCGUGUAUGAAGAAGGCCUUCGGGUUGUAAAGUACUUUCAGCGGGGAGGAAGGCACUACGGUUAAUAACCGUGUUGAUUGACGUUACCCGCAGAAGAAGCACCGGCUAACUCCGUGCCAGCAGCCGCGGUAAUACGGAGGGUGCAAGCGUUAAUCGGAAUUACUGGGCGUAAAGCGCACGCAGGCGGUCUGUCAAGUCGGAUGUGAAAUCCCCGGGCUCAACCUGGGAACUGCAUUCGAAACUGGCAGGCUUGAGUCUUGUAGAGGGGGGUAGAAUUCCAGGUGUAGCGGUGAAAUGCGUAGAGAUCUGGAGGAAUACCGGUGGCGAAGGCGGCCCCCUGGACAAAGACUGACGCUCAGGUGCGAAAGCGUGGGGAGCAAACAGGAUUAGAAACCCGGGUAGUCCC
This 474-nucleotide ribosomal RNA is filed under the name uncultured organism. RNAcentral describes it as "partial 16S ribosomal RNA". It matches the Rfam family "Bacterial small subunit ribosomal RNA", at positions 331 to 797 of the family's 1533-position model. The record is from RNAcentral.